Molecule: RNA transcript, 1510 nt
Organism: Sceloporus undulatus (fence lizard)
Lineage: Eukaryota; Metazoa; Chordata; Lepidosauria; Squamata; Phrynosomatidae
Gene name: phospholipase A2 inhibitor gamma subunit B-like
Exons: 7
Source: RefSeq, a predicted model, not a curated record
UGUGUUAUGAAACACUUACACUGGCUCGAACAGAAGCAGACUUUGCUGGACUGAAGAUUUUUUUAGUACAGAUCAGCACCCAGAUCAAGAUGACCUCUAGAAACAUGGAGAACCCACUGGCCAUCAGUGUUCUUGUCACCUUCAUAGCUGCAGGGGCCUCUCUGGAGUGCGAGAUUUGUCAGGGCAUUGGACAUAGUUGUGUGGGGCACAUGGAAACUUGCGCUCCUGCAUUGGACCGAUGUGGCAUUCUUCUGGGUGAAAUUGAGCUAGUUUGAACCCGUUGCUCUGUGUCCAAAGUCUCUGGAACAAGCUUGUUUUCUGCUGCAGCAGAGUCUAGGAGAGAGAGCAGUGGCCUCAGAUUACCCUGCACUGAAAAUCAGUCCAACCCAAACAUUAGGAAGAACUUCCUGAUGGCUUUUUGCUGAUGACCAUUGACAAAAUGUGCAUUGCAUCUACUUCCUGUGAGGCCUACACAGACACAGUUAUCAACAUGGGCAAAUCAGGAAGACUCAGGAACCGACUUUUCUGCUGUGUGGGAGAUGAAUGCAGGAGGAUCAACCCAAUCUGGACACCCAUGGAUACAACCCCCAAUGGGAUGGUAUGCCCAGCCUGUUUUCAAGUGAAUGAGUUUGAAUGUAAAAAGGAGGAAGAGCUCCAAUGUACUGGAAACCAGGAUAAUUGCCUUCUUGUGACUGGAACAGCCACUAGAGGAGGACAAGUUAUUCCAAUGACCAUGAAGGGCUGUACAAACAAUGCUGAGUGUCGCCAGCUGCGUGAUCAUUCGGAUACUGUUUCUGGGAUCAAUGUAAUUCUGUCAUACAGCUGCUUCCCAGCCUCUGGCAAAGGUGGUGCAUGGGUCUCCGAAGCCACCAGGAACAUUUCAGAUUCAUAUGGUAUUUUUCUUUCAAUGCUUGCUGGGCUCUUCCUUGUACAAUUCUUCCUCUGAAUCCACCCAACCAAUGACAGAGAUUCAGUUGGUAAGAUUCAAGCUAAGAAGUUGUGUUCAUUCUGACCAAGACCAGUGGAAGAAAACUACAGCGGAAACCUUUCAAGUUGUUGCAACUUCUUGCAUUUAGUGACAUUUUAUUAGUCACUCUGUACCCUGUACAUUGUGGAUUUUUCUUUGUGUAUGUACUCUGAUAAUUGCUAUUGCAUAAAAGGGUGAAAGAGUGAGACUGAGAUCAAACAAUGCUUACAGAAGCCUAGGCUGGCCUAUCAUUUGAGAUGGCAAGACACCCACCAGGGAGAAUGUUUUGGAUGUCAAGAAGCUGUUGUAGUAACAGGCCAGCUCUGCAAGAUUGUUUUGCAGGUCCUGACCAUUCCAUCUCCCCCAGAGACUGAGAAAGAAAGGUUAAUUACCAGCAGAUGAAAUAGUACCAACGCCUCUAAAGAUCCCAACCUCAGAUAUGUCAAUACACUACAACUGUUCUCCAAAACAAAGAACAAUCUCUUCCUCCUUGCAUCUUCUGUUGUGCAAAACAAAGCAACCUUUGCAUUUCUUUCCAUCUAA